Molecule: ribosomal RNA, 253 nt
Filed under: uncultured bacterium
Lineage: Bacteria
Description: partial 16S ribosomal RNA
Rfam family: Bacterial small subunit ribosomal RNA
Source: RNAcentral
UACGUAGGGUGCAAGCGUUGUCCGGAAUUAUUGGGCGUAAAGAGCUCGUAGGCGGUCUGUCGCGUCGGAUGUGAAAACUCGGGGCUCAACCCCGAGCCUGCAUUCGAUACGGGCAGACUUGAGUUCGGCAGGGGAGACUGGAAUUCCUGGUGUAGCGGUGAAAUGCGCAGAGAUCAGGAGGAACACCGGUGGCGAAGGCGGGUCUCUGGGCCGAUACUGACGCUGAGGAGCGAAAGAGUGGGGAGCGAACAGG